RNAcentral lists this ribosomal RNA (272 nucleotides) under uncultured prokaryote. RNAcentral describes it as "partial 16S ribosomal RNA". It matches the Rfam family "Bacterial small subunit ribosomal RNA", at positions 524 to 796 of the family's 1533-position model. The record is from RNAcentral.
UACAGAGGGGGCAAGCGUUGUUCGGAAUUACUGGGCGUAAAGGGCGCGUAGGUGGCCUUCUAAGUUGAACGUGAAAUCCCUGGGCUCAACCCAGGAACUGCGUCCAAGACUGGGAGGCUUGAAUCCGGGAGAGGGAUGCGGAAUUCCAGGUGUAGCGGUGAAAUGCGUAGAUAUCUGGAGGAACACCGGUGGCGAAGGCGGCAUCCUGGACCGGUAUUGACACUGAGGCGCGAAAGCCAGGGGAGCAAACGGGAUUAGAAACCGAGUAGUCC